GCCUUCCGGAUCUUCUCGAUUACUCUCUGAUCUUCAGCCCCCCCGGCCUCCGACCACCAGACGAGCGAGCCCUGACGCAUCACCACCCUCAGCCCGAGACGCCGCUCGAUCACUGGGGGACACACACACACACACACACACACACACACACUCAGCACCUUGGACUGGAACCCCCCGGAAACUUGGAAAACCCCAGAGCCCCGAGAACCCCUGGAACCCCUGACACCCCUGGCACUCCUAGCACCCCUGGAACCGGAACCUUCAAGACCUCACGUUUCUCUCACUCCUCUUCCCCCCUGAACCCUUCAAUAAAAAGACUCUGAAUUUGAA
Long non-coding RNA from Alosa alosa (allis shad), 330 nucleotides. RefSeq lists it as uncharacterized. The transcript has 2 exons. NCBI's taxonomy places the organism in Eukaryota, Metazoa, Chordata, Actinopteri, Clupeiformes, Clupeidae. The record is from RefSeq and is a predicted model, not a curated record.